Molecule: long non-coding RNA, 2771 nt
Filed under: Musa acuminata (dwarf banana)
Lineage: Eukaryota; Viridiplantae; Streptophyta; Magnoliopsida; Zingiberales; Musaceae
Description: long non-coding RNA (MACU_LNC004962)
Source: RNAcentral
CUUUCUAUGCUUGAUGUUUUUGCCGCUUUGUCCUUUUUCAGUCCAUAACCUGACGUUGUAUUUCAUGACAGAUCUUCCAGCAAAAAUGAUCAUGCCAAAUCCAUUGCCCAAGUAAAUGUUUCAGGUCAGUAUAGAACCUGUGAGUUUUGCUGAUGUGAUCAUUUUUUGCGAUAUGUUUUUAACAAUCAACAAAAUGGAUACCAUAUUUCAGAAAUCAAAUGCUGUUAUCAACAUAUAUAGACAGAAAUUACUUGGUAAUACUUUCAACUGCUCCUUUGUUCUCUCUAGAUUUCUGCAAUAUGGAACCCGAUACAACGACUAAUCGCAUGCUGGAAAUGCCUAAUGCUGCUACUCCUAAGAUUUCCAAAGGUACGUGUUGCUUAACAAACUCGGUUUGUGUUCAAUCACUAGGUUUUUCUUUCUGUGCUUGAUCAUCCCUGCCAUUAUAAUCAAUUUCCUUACUGUUCUUUUAGGUACAGAAUCCUGCAUCAAUUCUCCAACAAAGUUGACUACGUUUGUUGCCUAUCCUUUUACCCUCAUAAAACCAUGUCAACUUCAAGGGCACUUGACUUUGAACGAUAUAAAUCAGCGAAUUCAUGCUCCACCAUCAUCGAGAUCAAGAGACAAGAAGGAUGAUAAACCAACCUUUGUUUAUCCAACAAAGUUGACUACCUCUGUCGCCUAUCCUUUUACGCUCGUAAGACCAUGUCAAGUUCAAGGGCACUUGACUUUGAACGAUAUAAAUCAGCGGAUUCAUGCUCCAUCACCAUCAAGAUCAAGAAACAAAACGGAUGAGUAGGUGGUUUCCUUUUAACAAUACAAGCGAACAGUGUGGCAAGGCAUCACCAAGAUCCUCACUACCAAUGGCUGCUGACCACAUAGGUCCAUUCUAAACUAAGUUGUGUGCGUGGCAUCCCAAUGAUUCUUUGUUUCUGUUGGGCUUAUGAUAAAUUUUGGGUGGCUACUCUGUAAGUUCUGAGCACAAUCCUUACUUUUUACCAGAUCCAUUGCACAGUCGUUAGUUUGGCAUUUCCUCUGAGUCUAAGUUUGUGUGCUCGUUGUAUUCGAAUGAAAUAUAAGUUAUAUGAUGCUCCUAUUGAUUGAGAAGAAUGCUUUCACUCCUGACAAAAUUGUUUUUGCUCUUGAUUAUGAGCACUUACCUAACAUUUCCUUAUUGUUUUCUAGGAUAAAUCAAGAAGUGAUACAUGCAGGGUAGCAAACAUAAUGUCAUUCAUGUCCAUGACACAGCUUGUAGGUUCGAUACCUCAGGGUGGAGCCUUGUGGUCUAUAUUAAAUAGGUUGUUCUUAGCCUAAGAAGAGUUUUUGUAUGCAAAAUGGGAAAUUUAGGCUUAGAAUUGUUAGAUUUUUGCACAACUGGAAGAAUCUGAUUUCAUGACAUUGCUUUCAGCAUAUAGGUAUAGAAGGCAGCAGCUUGUCAGGAAGUCUGCUGGAAGUGGGGUUGCUAAGAUAAUUGAAUGGGCUAGCUCACAAGGUACUCAUGAGGUUCUUUACUCCUAGAAAGAGAAGAAAUAAAUGUGCACAUGCGAUGCAUCUGAGGUUAGUAGCUUGUGCAAUGGACUGGCCACAAGCCACAUUGUAGCCCAGAUUUAUGAACCGGUCAAGAUUAGGAAUAUGCUAUUGCUGUCUACUGGGAAUGAAGGCUUCGUCUAUUUAUAGGUGAACAUUUUGUUCAGUCUUCCACUUUAUUUAAGAACAAUAUCUUUGAUGAUAGUAUCCAUCAAACUUCCAUAGACUAAUUUAAGUUUAAACUAAUCUAAGUCUUAUUGUUCCCGAUAUAAGAUUAAAUUAUUCCAAGUACCUCCGUAGAGACAGCCGAACUCCCAUCUCUCCAUGCAUCGGAGCAAAUGCUUUUAAAGAUGAUUGUGACUUUAGAAAGCUUUGCUGCAUUCAUUGGAAUUAAGUUUCGUUAUGACAAUCCUGAUCUUAUUUGAAGGGAGACAUGGACUCAAUUUUCCCGCUACUAAGCUGUCAUUUCUGUAUGAAUAAUACGAAAGGACAAAACUUCAAGCGGUGCUGCAGAUUUCACCGUCGCAUCAUUUCAAGUCCAAUUCUAAAUGAAUGAAACCAACAUGGCAACCCCAGUUCCCAACCUAGAAAUCUGUAAAGUUGAUACGGUCAAAUGAACAUUCAGUGUCAAAUCAGCCUUCAUCGUCCGCUGGGUCUCUUCUCCAUUUUGACUCAUCAAAUUUCUAAUAGGGUUAGAGAGAGGACAUAAUUUGAAAUGAAUACAAACAAAAUACUACUACUCAUGGAAAUAUUGUUUUUUCUUUAGUAUCGGGUCUUAAUUGGAUGUUCAUAUUUAAUAAUAGGCAUAAUGAUUUCCAUUUUCACUAUCAGAAGAUGAAAAUUGAUUCCCACAAAGACAAUUUUCUUAUCUACAUAAAACCCUUAAUAAUUUUCGAAAGGAAAACUUUGCAUGACGAUAAAAAAGAACAAAAUGCUCGUUCUAAAACAAUAAAAAGAGUAAAAAAAAAAGAAGGAAAAGAAAUCAUUCGAGAUGAAAGCUAGAGAGAGAAAGAGACCAAUAUGGGCAUCAUAGCGAGCCGAGAACCCAUCGGAACACAAGAGCACUGGCUUUCUGAGAUGCCUCCUUUGAUCUGCGAUCCUUCCACUUUGGCAGGGAUUUCUCCGAUCGUUUCCGAGAAACCCCCCCUUGACGAGAGGAGCGGGAGAAGAGGCGAACCCUUCUCCCGUCCUCCGCCGAGAUAGAAAGAUCCGAUAUUAGGUUUGUUCGGAGAUGAACAUACCAG